RNAcentral lists this ribosomal RNA (253 nucleotides) under uncultured bacterium. RNAcentral describes it as "partial 16S ribosomal RNA". It matches the Rfam family "Bacterial small subunit ribosomal RNA", at positions 524 to 776 of the family's 1533-position model. The record is from RNAcentral.
UACAGAGGUCCCGAGCGUUGUUCGGAUUCACUGGGCGUAAAGGGUGCGCAGGUGGGCUGGUAAGUUUGAUGUGAAAGCCCCGGGCUUAACCUGGGAAUGGCAUUGAAUACUACUGGUCUGGAGGAUUGGAGGGGGGACUGGAAUUCUUGGUGUAGCAGUGAAAUGCGUAGAUAUCAAGAGGAACACCAGUGGCGAAGGCGAGUCCCUGGACAAUUCCUGACACUGAGGCACGAAAGCUAGGGGAGCAAACAGG